Non-coding RNA from Perkinsus marinus ATCC 50983, 72 nucleotides. NCBI's taxonomy places the organism in Eukaryota, Perkinsozoa, Perkinsida, Perkinsidae. The record is from Rfam.
GGGCGUGUGGUGUAGUGGUAUCACGUCUGCUUUGCAUGCAGAAGGCCCCGGGUUCAAACCCCGGCACGUCCA